ACAGACUCAAUUCAUAAAAAAAAAAAAAGAGAUAGAAAACACCAUCUUUUAUCAUUCUGGGAAAGAAGUCACUUGGUAUUGGAUCCGCUCUUCUCUCGUGCUCUUCUGGGCGGUACAAAUAAAUCCGGAAUGAGCACACCGAUAACGCCUAACGCCGGACCGGAACUCUUCCCUUCAAACUAAAUCCCUUCUAUUGCGGGUUUCGAACUACUCGCUACUAUAGUGAAAAAGUCCAGUUGACGUAGCGUAGGUGGAAGAAGAUCGGACUCAGUUCCUUUUCGUGAUAACUUCAUUCUUGGUCCGGUGGGUUAGAAGCAUAAUAAGAGAUUCCCCAUCCCGGAAUGAAGAUUAAUGCUUGAAUAGUCUUUUCCCGAGCCCAAGGAGAUAAAUUGAUCCCCGCCUCUGGCUGCUCCUG
Molecule: unclassified non-coding RNA, 415 nt
Filed under: Hevea brasiliensis (rubber tree)
Lineage: Eukaryota; Viridiplantae; Streptophyta; Magnoliopsida; Malpighiales; Euphorbiaceae
Source: RNAcentral